AUUCAGGAGUGCUGCAGUCAGACGGGCUGCGAGAGGAAAAAGAGGGUGAAGGUGGGAAAUCAGUCAAUCAAAGGCUCACGCGGCUCACAUUUUUUUUUUCCUCUCGUCGUCUUGUGUGUGUUUUGCAGGAGAGAGGGAGAGCUGAUCCGAGCGGAGAGGAGGUGGACGGAUGGAUGGAUAGAGCGCUGGAGAGAGGAGGAGGAGGAGAAGCGUGUCUUGAGAUGAGUCCAGCGCCCGCACUCCUCCUAUCCGCACAGCUGACACCCCCACGGGAGAAGAAGAUAAAAAAAUAAAAAAAAAAAAGAAAGAAAGAAGGAGGGGAGUCGCACCCUGAAACCCGACAUCGUGCGGCCUCACCGGAAGCCUCACCUCUGGUUUCCUCUUGCAGCAACAGUUGGCGGAGCCAAGUGACGCACACGUUGAGAAAGCAGCGCCGGAGAAAGGGGAAGAUGGGAAGUAUGGAUGUCAGCGGCAGGUCGGUCCGUGUCGGAGGGGAGGGCGGUGCAGCAGGGACGGAUGUUGUUAUUGUAGCAGGCGAUGCUGCGUGCAGGUGGGGGUGAGCUGCACCUGAUUUCAAGGUAAAAUAUGCCACAGGUAUUAAAUAAGUGUCACAAAUGGGGUUAUUAAUUAACAGUUUGUAUCUGUCAACACUUAUUUCAUGGUGUGUAAGUGGUAAUUAAUAAGUAAAAUAGUUGAAAUUUACCCCAAAAUUACCGCACAAAUGAUUUCAAAUUGAAUGAAAAUCAUACAACAAGAACAUGCUUCUGUUUUCUGAGAAAUGUUUGACUUGUUUCUGUUUGACUUUUGCUGAUCAUGACAGUUUAUUUUCAGUAUCUGGCCAUUGUCCAGUCAGUAAAGAAGUUGGACAACUCGCAUCAAUUUGGUGUCCUGCUGAGGGGAAGUUGGACAGAAACCAGCUGGAAGUCUCCUGGAAAGCAAUUUAUGAACUGGUUGUUGCAAAAACAGCACAAAAUUAUUUCAUCGGGGUAAAAUUUAACAUAAUCUGAGGUAAUUAUUGUAGUAUCAUGGGGGUCAUUUCAAUGGAAUUUCAAAUACAUUACUUGGUAAUUACCAGCUUCGUACCAUGGAGCUUGCACACCUGUAAAAAGAAGUGUUGGCGCAUCAUUCAUGUCUUUCUAACAGUCUAACAGUUGAUUUCAAGAGCCUGACGUAUGUGUUUAACUUCCUCCCACAGUUACUCAACACUGAGGACACUAAAUGCCCCGUCCACUUUCUCUUGAAUGCAUCCAAAGUGUGCUUCACUGUGUACUAAUUUAAAUAAUCAUACAUUACAGUAGAACAAAUUAAAUAUACAGAGAAGAUCAAUCACCGCAUUUAUCAGUGGAGUUUGAGGCAUAAUUCUGCCAACUCAUGCACUGAUGGCGCCAAACAGAAAUAAUAUUCCAGCUCAUCAUCUGCUUGCGGUUGUUUGUGCGGAGCGUUGAACCAGAACUACAAAAUAAAGUAUAAAACAAAGACAUCGA
Acanthopagrus latus (yellowfin seabream) is the source of this 1484-nucleotide long non-coding RNA. RefSeq lists it as uncharacterized. The record is from RefSeq and is a predicted model, not a curated record. The transcript has 2 exons. NCBI's taxonomy places the organism in Eukaryota, Metazoa, Chordata, Actinopteri, Spariformes, Sparidae.